Molecule: long non-coding RNA, 880 nt
Organism: Triticum aestivum (bread wheat)
Lineage: Eukaryota; Viridiplantae; Streptophyta; Magnoliopsida; Poales; Poaceae
Exons: 3
Source: RefSeq, a predicted model, not a curated record
GAAGAAGUCCAGGAGGCCUUUGAGUGAAGGACCUUGAAGCCCACUGCCUUUUUUUCCCCGUCGCUGCUCCUCCACACGGCGGCGUGCAGGUACAGUACGGCACGCGCUCGCGGCGGCCGGCCGGCGGGCGGGCCCCCUCGCGCUCUCGGCCUCCCAAGGACACUAGCCGGCGGCGGCAGGCGGCCAGAGGGGCGCUGUAACGGUGGGCGGGCCCGGUGCGUCGGUGGGCUGGUGGCGGCGAGCAGGGGACGCCGGAAGGAACUUCAGAGAUCGACAGAUUACUGGUGCAGUGAUCAAUUGUUGGUUGGUCAGGCAAGAUUAGCUAGUAAGUGCGAAUUCUUGUUGGAGAUGGCAAACGAACACGAGAGAGACAAGCAAAUCGGAGAAGAGGAAGAGGAGGAAGAAGAAGAGUAUGUCUUGCUAGAGUUGGAUGGUUGUAUGUAUUCCAACAUUCAACCAGAUGCCCCUUAUAUACUCUCUAUGCUUCACCAAAACCAGUUCAUGAUCAUAGUGCACCUCCCAAAGUAAAUAAGGACAAGAUAGGCAGCACCAAUAAGGAAGGACCAUCCAAGGAGGUGAAACAUCUCGCAAGAGUUCAAAAGAUUGUCAAAUUCCGGUCGAUCAAUGAGGAUCAUCACGAGCAGAGCAUAUCAGCAUAAGGAUAAGGAGUUUUGCUUUAACCCUUCAAAUAGAAUGUAAGGAUGAUACUUCCUAAUUUUAAUUGUCCACUAGCAUUCUCUAUUUUGAGGUAAGUUGCAAUAUGCAAGUCUGGUGGUUCUUAUCAUCUCUUUCUGAAUUUUCAAUCUUCUGAAAAUCUGCAUAGUGGAUGUCUUGGCUCUGUGUGAACUCAUCGAACAAUAUCUAAAACCUGAGAAACACC